GAUGAACGCUGGCGGCGUGCCUAAUACAUGCAAGUCGAACGAUGAAGAUUAAAAGAUUUCUUCGGAAUGAACUUAAUUGGAUUAGUGGCGGACGGGUGAUUAACGCGUGAGUAACCUGCCUUGUACAAGGGGAUAGCCGUUGGAAACGACGAAUAAUACCCUAUGACAUCAAAUAAUCGCAUGAUAAUUUGAUCAAAGAUUUAUCGGUAUAAGAUGGACUCGCGUCUGAUUAGCUAGUUGGUAGAGUAAAAGCCUACCAAGGCAACGAUCAGUAGCCGGCUUGAGAGAGUGUACGGCCACAUUGGGACUGAGACACGGCCCAGACUCCUACGGGAGGCAGCAGUGGGGAAUUUUGCACAAUGGGGGAAACCCUGAUGCAGCGACGCCGCGUGAUUUAGAAGGCCUUCGGGUUGUAAAAAUCUUUUGUAUGGGAAGAAAAUGACAGUACCAUACGAAUAAGGACCGGCUAAUUACGUG
This 477-nucleotide ribosomal RNA is filed under the name uncultured bacterium. RNAcentral describes it as "partial 16S ribosomal RNA". It matches the Rfam family "Bacterial small subunit ribosomal RNA", at positions 28 to 507 of the family's 1533-position model. The record is from RNAcentral.